This 560-nucleotide ribosomal RNA is filed under the name uncultured bacterium. RNAcentral's name for it is "bacterial SSU rRNA". It matches the Rfam family "Bacterial small subunit ribosomal RNA", at positions 338 to 916 of the family's 1533-position model. The record is from RNAcentral.
CCUACGGGAGGCUUAGUGGGGAAUAUUGCACAAUGGGCGAAAGCCUGAUGCAGCAACGCCGCGUGAGUGAUGAAGGCCUUCGGGUUGUAAAGCUCUGUCUUCUGGGACGAUAAUGACGGUACCAGAGGAGGAAGCCACGGCUAACUACGUGCCAGCAGCCGCGGUAAUACGUAGGUGGCAAGCGUUGUCCGGAUUUACUGGGCGUAAAGGAUGCGUAGGCGGAUGCUUAAGUCAGAUGUAAAAAUCCCGAGCUUAACUUGGGAACUGCAUUUGAAACUGGGUAUCUAGAGUGCGGGAGAGGAGAGUGGAAUUCCUAGUGUAUCGGUGAAAUGCGUAGAGAUUAGGAAGAACACCAGUGGCGAAGGCGACUCUCUGGACCGUAACUGACGCUGAGGCAUGAAAGCGUGGGGAGCAAACAGGAUUAGAUACCCUGGUAGUCCACGCCGUGAACUAUGAAUACUAGGUGUGGGAGUUGUCAUGACUUCCGUGCCGCAGUUAACACAAUAAGUAUUCCGCCUGGGGAGUACGGACGCAAGAUUAAAACUCAAAGGAAUUGACGG